UACGUAGGGGGCAAGCGUUGUCCGGAAUUACUGGGCGUAAAGCGUGCGCAGGCGGUUUUGUAAGCCAGAUGUGAAAGCCCCGGGCUUAACCUGGGAAUGGCAUUUGGGACUGCAAGGCUGGAGUGUGGCAGAGGAGACUGGAAUUCCUGGUGUAGCAGUGAAAUGCGUAGAUAUCUGGAGGAACACCGGUGGCGAAGGCGGCAUCCUGGACCGACACUGACACUGAGGAGCGAAAGCCAGGGGAGCAAACGGG
This 253-nucleotide ribosomal RNA is filed under the name uncultured bacterium. RNAcentral's name for it is "partial 16S ribosomal RNA". It matches the Rfam family "Bacterial small subunit ribosomal RNA", at positions 524 to 776 of the family's 1533-position model. The record is from RNAcentral.